Molecule: non-coding RNA, 47 nt
Filed under: Schistosoma margrebowiei
Lineage: Eukaryota; Metazoa; Platyhelminthes; Trematoda; Strigeidida; Schistosomatidae
Source: RNAcentral
AUCAGCUGACGGGUUCCAAAUAGGACGACAUGACGCGUGUCCUGGAU